Molecule: long non-coding RNA, 282 nt
Organism: Ooceraea biroi (clonal raider ant)
Lineage: Eukaryota; Metazoa; Arthropoda; Insecta; Hymenoptera; Formicidae
Source: RefSeq, a predicted model, not a curated record
UGGCAAGGAAAAAAGCUUCAGGCACAUUUGAAACAUCACAUGAUGUGUUUCCCUCUUUACAUUUAUCUUUGACAUAUUGUUCGACUCUUGUAUGAAAGUUACGAAGAUACGAAGCUACAAAAAGGAUACUAAUAUAAUUUUGUAUAAUGAGCACAGCAUGCAAUAUCAGAGAAUAUAUAUUUGUAGUGAUUCAUAGCAAUACAAGUAGUAAAAUAUUACAGUCACUUGGUUGCACGAUAGUUUGUACCUUGUAUGUAAUAAAUAAAAAAUUUAUAUAAUAUA